ACACGGUACCUCACUAACUUACCGACGCCCCCAAUUACUCAAAAUUAUGUAAAAUGAACCCGGAGUUUUACUACAUAUUUUUAUUUUAAUUUAAGUAACUUUUAUUUUAUGUAUUUGGACCACAUGACCUCACCCCUAAUGCAUUCUUGACAUGAAAAGAAUAAUAAAUCAAAAUUAAUAAAAAUUCAUUUAGAUAAGAAAAUGCAAUGUAUUUUAAAUAAAGAUAAUCCGCGAUAAAAGAUAACAGAAAUUCCAGCAGUAAUUAAUUUUCUCAAAACUUUCACCGAAACCCAACAACUUUUGGGUCAAACUUUUUCAAUUAAUUGCCUAUAAUCAGACACCAGAAUAAAGAAUGACGUCAGUAGUAUCAACGUUCAUACCCGCCUUAGAACCACCAUGACCAGCCCGAUCCGAAAUCUCUCCGCCACCGCCACCGCCACCGACGGAGAAGCCGCCAUGUGGGUGAUUGUUCUGGUGGUGGUGGUUGUCAGCCGGAGGAUGGUAGUACAUACGCGCCGUCUGGGGGCAGUGAGAAUGAAAUCUUGCCACUAUUCUAACCCCUACAUCCAAUAACUCCAUAUACUUAGCCAUCUCUUUUCUUGAUUUCUCUCUAUAUAUCUGUAUAUCUAUAUAUCUAUAAUCUCUCUAUAUAUAUGACUUUCUCUCUCUAAAAUUUUGCUUUCUGUGAUGAGAGAGAAAGGAAAGAAGGCAAAUAAUGCUAGAAAACUGCCCAAACGUAAGAUCCCAUGAAAAGAAGAGACUUUGCUUGAGAGGAAAGGGGAUGAAUAUAUUGGCGUUUAUAUAGCUAGUUUUGGGUUUAUUUUUGUCAAUUUUCAUAUUUGUCCAUUUGGUUUUCCUGUAU
Molecule: long non-coding RNA, 862 nt
Filed under: Panax ginseng (ginseng)
Lineage: Eukaryota; Viridiplantae; Streptophyta; Magnoliopsida; Apiales; Araliaceae
Description: long non-coding RNA (PGIN_LNC008265)
Source: RNAcentral